GUUUCUUCUAUGAAAUCUAUACUUCACCCGUGGAGGCAGCAAAUCAAGACAAAGCUGGUCUCUGCAAACCCCUUGACCAUGGGGAGAGGCUCACAUUAGAUACUGCAGUUUGUUGCGGAGCUUAUUCCCAAAGGUGAGUUAAAGACCCACUCUCGGAGUGUUGGUUGUUGGAGUUUGGUGGAACCACUAAAACAUAAGGUUGAAGGAGGGCUUCUGUUACUGUG
Molecule: long non-coding RNA, 224 nt
Filed under: Rattus norvegicus (Norway rat)
Lineage: Eukaryota; Metazoa; Chordata; Mammalia; Rodentia; Muridae
Description: long non-coding RNA NONRATT032596
Source: RNAcentral